Faecalibacterium prausnitzii SL3/3 is the source of this 83-nucleotide non-coding RNA. Lineage: Bacteria; Bacillati; Bacillota; Clostridia; Eubacteriales; Oscillospiraceae. The record is from Rfam.
GCGCCCGUGGUGGAAUCGCAGACACAGGAGACUUAAGAUCUUCUGCCAGAGAUGGCGUGCGGGUUCAAGUCCCGCCGGGCGCA